Molecule: unclassified non-coding RNA, 379 nt
Filed under: Hevea brasiliensis (rubber tree)
Lineage: Eukaryota; Viridiplantae; Streptophyta; Magnoliopsida; Malpighiales; Euphorbiaceae
Source: RNAcentral
UGUAUACGCACGCACAUAUAACAGUUGCUGGUGAUUAAAUUUAUGUUGAAAGGUUUGGUUAUUAGAGGAAAUAUAGAUGUUGAACUUGUGAUUGUCAUGAAGUCUUGAUUUGUUCGAAUGCAUGGGUGCACGUCUGAGAGAAGGGGGAGACUACGUAUGGUUUCUCCUUUUUAUAGCUGCAUAUAAUUAAUAUGGUAUCGCACUUGACAUUUUAUCUUUGUCUUGCUGCCUGAAUAAUUGCAGAGUGAGAAUUAUAAAGAGAAAUACGUAUGAAUAAGGUAAAAUCCAAAACAAAAUCAGUGAAAAAAUUCAAUGCAUAUAUAUGUAUCUCAUGACAAUUGCUUCUUUUGAAAUACUUUCUUCACAUAUUAGAAUAUGA